Molecule: long non-coding RNA, 1095 nt
Filed under: Caenorhabditis briggsae
Lineage: Eukaryota; Metazoa; Nematoda; Chromadorea; Rhabditida; Rhabditidae
Description: lncRNA CBG30976
Source: RNAcentral
UUUAGGAUACGAAAUUAUGUUUUGUUAUUCACCUCGACAAUCAUAACGAUUGUUCUCUUGGGAAAACGAUGUGUCUCCUUUGGAUGGAUUCCAUCUCUGGUAAUCCGAUACUAACCAAAUUCGGGAAUUUUUCCAUCCAGAUUCGGGUAACGCGCAUUUUCCAACCAGAUUCGGGUAAAAUUCCAACCAGAUUCGGAAACUUUUUAUUUUUCGACCAGAUCCGACAAAGCUAAUUUUCCUUUAUUAUUCCUGGUUACCCAUUCAGGUGCUUCCAGUCACUGCUCUUUUCAACCAUAUUCGGAUUUCUUGCGCUUUCAACAGACGAGAAUCAAGUGCUUGAUUUUUUUAGAUAAUUAUGAAGCGAAACAGGUGCUCAUUGAAAGAAAUUAUGCGAGACGCUGAAGAAAAGUGUAUAAAUGGCGAAAGGAUCAGUAUAAUCUCAAAGUUGACGGGAAAACAGAAUCGAGAAAUUAUGAAAUUUUCGGAAUUGAUUCAAUUGUUGCCUCGGGUAAUGAAGAAGAUGUAGGAGAGAGGAACAGUGACGAUGGAACUUUUUUGACUGACAGAAGUGAAUUGAAUGAGAUUGAAGAAGCAGAGACACGAAACGCCUGGAGGUGUCUAAGUAAUCAAGAUUUGCAGAGAAUCUACUUUCUCGUUACCACUACACCCUCAGCUGUGGUCUUCACUCACGAUAUCUGAUAAACCCCAGACACCAAAUGUCUCUCUUCCAUCACGCUUAUCAAGAAUCCCAAUCAAAUUACUAUCACAAUGCAUCACAGUUGGUGGAAUAGCGCCCAGCGACCUGUCGGAUCUCGUUGACGUUUUGUUCAAAAGACACGCUACAUAUAUGUUCGAGAACGCACGAAAAGCCAAUAAAAAAUCGAAGAACAAAAUCAUGGAUGAACCCGGAACGCCAAAGGUCUACGAACAAAACUCGCCUACACCCUCUCCAAACUCGCCUCUCAACACUGACAGAGGGUAGGCAAUGUGAAAUCCGACAAUUAUAAACAUUUUUUUGGCUCCUAAAUUUUUGACCAAAUUCGCCAUCUUUCUAGUUAUUCAUGUUUUUUGGGUGCCUCAAAUUUUUCCCGGUUU